CUUAUCCCAAGAGAAUUCUAGAAAAUUCAAGAGGAAGAAGAGAAGAGAAACUUGAAGCUAGAGAGAGAGAGCUCGGUUUUGGGGGAUAAAAAGAGUUUAGAGCAGCCCAAAAACGUUACCAAGCAGUCCCAAAGUUCUAGCUACACUAGGAGAGCUUCCGAGGCAAGUUUUGGCGAGUUUCGGGGAAGAAAAACAAGUUGGACACAUAAGCGUAGCUAGUAAGGCGCGACACAGGUACACCCAGAUGAGUAGAAGCUAUUAUAAAAGAUGUUCCAGUGGAGUUAGCAACUCCACUUGUUCCUGGAUUGCGGCCGGGUCAGAGUAUAUGCGAUAUGAUGUUUCGUUCAAAGUUAGAGACUUUGCAGACAGAGUCGUGAGUAUAGAGUGUCAGCUUUGUAAGCGGCGUCAUGAGCCGAUAUGUUAUUAUGUCUUUGUCCCGAGUUUUAUGGGAUAAUAGAUUUUGAAAAAAAAUAUUAAUUCGGGAAGCUUAGUUAUGUUUUUCAUUUCUUAUUGAUGUAAAAGUCUAAAGAGAUUAAGUAUGUACUAUGAAGCAGCGGGUUCGCUCGGCUCCAAGCAUGGGGUCGGGUGCCCAUCACACCCUAUUAAUAUCGGGGUGUGACAUGUUCUUAUAUA
This is a long non-coding RNA of Solanum dulcamara, 633 nucleotides long. RefSeq lists it as uncharacterized. The transcript has 4 exons. Lineage: Eukaryota; Viridiplantae; Streptophyta; Magnoliopsida; Solanales; Solanaceae. The record is from RefSeq and is a predicted model, not a curated record.